This is a long non-coding RNA of Haliotis rubra (blacklip abalone), 104 nucleotides long. RefSeq lists it as uncharacterized. The record is from RefSeq and is a predicted model, not a curated record. Lineage: Eukaryota; Metazoa; Mollusca; Gastropoda; Lepetellida; Haliotidae. The transcript is spliced from 3 exons.
UGAUAGCUGUACUGUGUUUGACGAAUUUGGGACGUAUACUGGUGGUUAUAUAGCCGCAAAUUUAGUUAUAUGGGCGACGCGUAAGCGUUGAUUCAUCUUCUAAC